GUGCCAGCCGCCGCGGUAAUACGGAGGGUCCAAGCGUUGUCCGGAAUCACUGGGUGUAAAGGGUGCGCAGGCGGGCGUGUAAGUCAGGGGUGAAAGCCACCGGCCUAACCGGUGAACUGCCCUUGAUACUGCACGUCUUGAGUCCCGGAGAGGCUAUCGGUAUUCGUGGUGUAGCGGUGAAAUGCGUAAAUAUCACGAGGAACACCUGAUGCGUAGGCGGAUAGCUGGACGGGUACUGACGCUCAGGCACGAAAGCGUGGGGAGCGAACAGGAUUAGAUACCCUGGUAGUCCACGCCGUAAACGAUGGAUGCUCGAUGUUGCACCGCUUCAGGUUCAGUGUCCAAGCUAACGCGUUAAGCAUCCCACCUGGGGAGUACGAUCGCAAGGUUGAAACUUAAAGGAAUUGACGGGG
RNAcentral lists this ribosomal RNA (413 nucleotides) under uncultured prokaryote. Its description in RNAcentral is "bacterial SSU rRNA". It matches the Rfam family "Bacterial small subunit ribosomal RNA", at positions 505 to 918 of the family's 1533-position model. The record is from RNAcentral.